AAACUAACAAGGAUUCCCCUAGUAGCGGCGAGCGAAGCGGGAAGAGCUCAAAUUUAUAAUCUGGCGCUUUCAGCGUCCGAGUUGUAAUCUCUAGAAGUGUUUUCCGCGUUGGACCGCACAUAAGUCUGUUGGAAUACAGCGGCACAGUGGUGAGACCCCCGUAUACGGUGCGGAUGCCCAAUGCUUUGUGAUACACUCUCGAAGAGUCGAGUUGUUUGGGAAUGCAGCUCAAAUUGGGUGGUAAAUUCCAUCUAAAGCUAAAUAUUGGCGAGAGACCGAUAGCGAACAAGUACCGUGAGGGAAAGAUGAAAAGCACUUUGGAAAGAGAGUUAACAGUACGUGAAAUUGUUGGAAGGGAAACGCUUGAAGUCAGACUUGCUUUUCGGGGUUUACUCCGGUUGGCAGGCCAGCAUCAGUUUUCCGGGGCGGAAAAUCACGGUUAGAAGGUAGCAGUUUCGGCUGUGUUAUAGCUUUCCGUUGGAUACGUCCUGGGGGACUGAGGAACGCAGUGUGCUUUUAGCGAGGGCUUCGGCCCUUUCACACUUAGGAUGCUGGUGGAAUGGCUUUAAACGACCCGUC
Molecule: ribosomal RNA, 579 nt
Filed under: Rhodosporidiobolus fluvialis
Lineage: Eukaryota; Fungi; Basidiomycota; Microbotryomycetes; Sporidiobolales; Sporidiobolaceae
Description: LSU rRNA
Rfam family: Eukaryotic large subunit ribosomal RNA
Source: RNAcentral